GACGAACGCUGGCGGCGUGCCUAACACAUGCAAGUCGAACGGAGCAGAUCCCUUCGGGGGUUUGCUUAGUGGCGAACGGGUGAGUAACGCGUGAGGAACCUGCCUUUCAGUGGGGGACAACAGUUGGAAACGACUGCUAAUACCGCAUAUGCCUUAGUAACACAUGUUACAAAAGGGAAAGGAGCAAUCCGCUGAUAGAUGGGCUUGCGUCUGAUUAGAUAGUUGGUGAGGUAACGGCUCACCAAGUCGACGAUCAGUAGCCGGACUGAGAGGUUGAACGGCCACAUUGGGACUGAGAUACGGCCCAG
This 308-nucleotide ribosomal RNA is filed under the name uncultured bacterium. Its description in RNAcentral is "bacterial SSU rRNA". It matches the Rfam family "Bacterial small subunit ribosomal RNA", at positions 28 to 334 of the family's 1533-position model. The record is from RNAcentral.